CUCACUUUCCCCAAAUCAGCCACAAUGGCGUCUUCCAAGUCUGUCGUCCUGCUGGUCCCCUCCGAUUCCUCCUCCGCUCGCUGACACCGGUACUCCCCUGCUCUCGGCCGUGGAUAAAUCCGCGUGAGGACGUCGGCUAGUGCGCGCCUCCGGCCACGCCGGUUGCUGCUGGACUCCCCAACGCCGCUGCCCGCCUCCCCUCCCCUGGACGGCUAGGUCGCUAAGGCCUACUGUGCUUCGUCGGCCGUCAGCCAGCUCUAUCCGUCGAGCAGUGCUGCUUCAGCUCAACGCACAUGCCUGCCUCCCUAGAAUGCCGGCGGUGCAGGCUGCACUAUAACCAGCCCGUUUUACCACUAGAUCUGUGGGGCGCCGGCGGCAGCAGGCAGCUGUAGCCCCCGCUCCCUGACCAACAUGACCAUGAGUAACAGCGGAUGCAGAGGACAAGCUCGAGGAUGGUGAUUCAGAGGAGCAGGGAGAUACAAGAAGAAAUAAUGCAAGAUGAGUCAUUUUGUUCAUUACGAUAAAUCUACGAAGUGGAAGAAAAUGAGCAUGCCUCUAAUAUUUCGAUCUUUUGAGGGCCAAGAUCUCAAGCAUGAAGUUCAUUUACUAUAAAGCUGGGCUAGGUUUCCCCACUUAUUGCCGCAACUUCACAUUGGACAUCACAAGGAUGGGUGAAGCCACGAAUCCUGAUUGAAGACCGGAAGAUGAUGAUGAUAACAAGAGCUCGAUGGAGGUGUGCAGUCCUAUUGAAGAUGGCCAAGUUCAGAUCCAAAGGCGAUGUAUUCCAUCCAGUGCCUGUGGCCGGGGAUCGCAUCCAGCAUGUGCGAUCUGUGUGGAGAACGCACCCUGCGGCCAACAAAAUCCUGUUAUAUAGGCAAUGGAAAAAGGCGGGAGGUGAGUCGCAGAAAGAAAAAUUGGCGCCAAUGUGGUUGUUCAGGAAAGGGCGGAGGCGGAGAUGGACAGUUGCGAUCUGUAUUUGUUAAUCGCGUUUGUGGAAAAACGACUAAUACUCGUUUUCCCACAAACCUGGAAUUCUGGGCCUUUGUGAAACGAGUUUCCUAUAUGCAUGGGUUAGUUGGAGGAGCCAAACAA
Molecule: non-coding RNA, 1092 nt
Organism: Triticum urartu
Lineage: Eukaryota; Viridiplantae; Streptophyta; Magnoliopsida; Poales; Poaceae
Source: RefSeq, a predicted model, not a curated record